This 303-nucleotide ribosomal RNA is filed under the name uncultured bacterium. RNAcentral's name for it is "partial 16S ribosomal RNA". It matches the Rfam family "Bacterial small subunit ribosomal RNA", at positions 507 to 807 of the family's 1533-position model. The record is from RNAcentral.
AGCAGUCGCCGCGGUAAUACGAAGGGUGCAAGCGUUAAUCGGAAUUACUGGGCGUAAAGCGCGCGUAGGUGGUUUGGUAAGAUGGAUGUGAAAUCCCCGGGCUCAACCUGGGAACUGCAUCCAUAACUGCCUGACUAGAGUACGGUAGAGGGUGGUGGAAUUUCCUGUGUAGCGGUGAAAUGCGUAGAUAUAGGAAGGAACACCAGUGGCGAAGGCGACCACCUGGACUGAUACUGACACUGAGGUGCGAAAGCGUGGGGAGCAAACAGGAUUAGAGACCCCCGUAGUCCCUGUCUCUUAUAC